This 672-nucleotide ribosomal RNA is filed under the name Vishniacozyma victoriae. RNAcentral's name for it is "partial large subunit ribosomal RNA". It matches the Rfam family "Eukaryotic large subunit ribosomal RNA", at positions 38 to 700 of the family's 3401-position model. The record is from RNAcentral. Lineage: Eukaryota; Fungi; Basidiomycota; Tremellomycetes; Tremellales; Bulleribasidiaceae.
GCAUAUCAAUAAGCGGAGGAAAAGAAACUAACUAGGAUUCCCUUAGUAACGGCGAGUGAACCGGGAUGAGCUCAAAUUUAAAAUCUGGCGUCUUUCAGGCGUCCGAGUUGUAAUCUAUAGAGGCGUUUUCCGCGCCGGACCGCGUCCAAGUCUCUUGGAAUAGAGUAUCAAAGAGGGUGACAAUCCCGUACUUGACGCGACAACCGGUGCUCUGUGAUACGUUCUCAAUGAGUCGAGUUGUUUGGGAAUGCAGCUCUAAAUGGGUGGUAAAUUCCAUCUAAGGCUAAAUAUUGGCGAGAGACCGAUAGCGAACAAGUACCGUGAGGGAAAGAUGAAAAGCACUUUGGAAAGAGAGUUAAACAGCACGUGAAAUUGUUAAAAGGGAAACGAUUGAAGUCAGUCGUGUGAAAGGUAUUCAGCCGUCUCUGGCGGUGUAUUUGCCUUUCACGGGUCAACAUCAGUUUGAUCCGGUAGAAAAAGGCGGGAGGAAGGUGGCACCCUCGGGUGUGUUAUAGCCUCCUGUCAUAUGUGCCGGACCAGACUGAGGAACGCAGCUUGCCGCAAGGCCGGGGUUCGCCCACGUACAAGCUUAGGAUGUUGACAUAAUGGCUUUAAACGACCCGUCUUGAAACACGGACCAAGGAGUCUAACAUAUCUGCGAGUGUUUGGGUG